Molecule: small RNA, 946 nt
Filed under: Pongo abelii (Sumatran orangutan)
Lineage: Eukaryota; Metazoa; Chordata; Mammalia; Primates; Hominidae
Description: retained intron
Source: RNAcentral
UUUUCACCCUGGAAGAAAAUCGUUUUGCGCUCACCAGAAGCUUAGUUUAUUGCAGCAUCUAACCUAGCUUGCCUUCUUAGGACUAGGGAUUUUCUUUAUAUUCAGAUAAAGUUCAAGGACAAGAAGAGGCUUGGGCUUGUGUUAUGCAAAGUCAUUUACUUGAGUAAUAAAUAGGUGUCACUUGUGAAUGACAUUACCUUUAACACCAUGUAGCGUAUGUUGUGUUCUGAAGAACUGCAACUACAAAGUUAUUUGUUGGUACUGAGAGAUUUCUUCUUUAUUCUGUGUUUUUGCUAUCCUGUCCUAUAUAACUUUUUUUAAAGUCAUAAGCUUAAAGUUUUUUGUUACGAAGAAUUUUAUAUUUAUGCAAAAUAGUAUCUGUAUGACCAAUCAUCCAGAUUCAGCAACUAAAAGGAUUUAUAAUAGAUUUAAAGGUUCAAUGUUUAAUAAAUAUCUUAAAGUUCACUAGAGAAAAAAUCCUUAUUGCGAGAUAACGUGGACCUACUGGGAAGCUUGGCAGAUCUGUACUUCAGAGCUGGAGACAAUAAAAACUCUGUCCUCAAGUUUGAACAGGCACAGAUGUUGGAUCCUUAUCUGAUAAAAGGAAUGGAUGUAUAUGGCUACCUACUGGCACGAGAAGGGCGGCUGGAGGAUGUUGAGAACCUUGGAUGCCGCCUUUUCAAUAUCUCUGAUCAGCAUGCAGAACCGUGGGUGGUUUCUGGCUGUCACAGCUUCUAUAGCAAACGCUACUCCCGGGCCCUCUAUUUAGGAGCCAAGGCCAUUCAGCUGAACAGUAAUAGUGUUCAAGCUUUGCUACUUAAGGGAGCAGCACUUAGGAACAUGGGCAGAGUCCAAGAAGCAAUAAUCCACUUUCGGGAGGCCAUACGGCUCGCACCUUGUCGCUUAGAUUGUUAUGAAGGUCUUAUCGAAUGUUACUUAGCCUCCA